GGGCAGUGGGGGCGUCUUACCAUGCAAGUCGAACGAACCUUCGGGUGAGUGGCGGACGGGUGAGUAACGCGUGGGAAUCUGCCCUCAGGAGGGGGAUAACGGCUGGAAACGGCCGCUAAUACCCCAUAUGCCGAGAGGUGAAAUGAAUUUCGCCUGAGGAUGAGCCCGCGUCUGAUUAGCUAGUUGGUGAGGUAAGAGCUCACCAAGGCAUCGAUCAGUAGCUGGUCUGAGAGGAUGAUCAGCCACACUGGGACUGAGACACGGCCCAGACUCCUACGGGAGGCAGCAGUGGGGAAUUUUCCGCAAUGGGCGAAAGCCUGACGGAGCAACGCCGCGUGAGGGAUGAAGGCCUCUGGGCUGUAAACCUCUUUUCUCAAGGAAGAAGAUCUGACGGUACUUGAGGAAUAAGCCACGGCUAAUUCCGUGCCAGCAGCCGCGGUAAUACGGGAGUGGCAAGCGUUAUCCGGAAUUAUUGGGCGUAAAGCGUCCGCAGGCGGCCCUUCAAGUCUGCUGUUAAAACGUGGAGCUUAACUCCAUCAUGGCAGUGGAAACUGUUGGGCUUGAGUGUGGUAGGGGCAGAGGGAAUUCCCGGUGUAGCUGAAAUGCGUAGAUAUCGGGAAGAACACCAGUGGCGAAGGCGCUCUGCUGGGCCAUAACUGACGCUCAUGGACGAAAGCCAGGGGAGCGAAAGGGAUUAGAUACCCCUGUAGUCCUGGCCGUAAACGAUGAACACUAGGUGUCGGGGGAAUCGACCCCCUCGGUGUCGUAGCCAACGCGUUAAGUGUUCCGCCUGGGGAGUACGCACGCAAGUGUGAAACUCAAAGGAAUUGACGGGGGCCCGCACAAGCGGUGGAGUAUGUGGUUUAAUUCGAUGCAACGCGAAGAACCUUACCAGGGUUUGACAUCCUGCGAAUCUCCUGGGAAACGGGAGAGUGCCUUCGGGAACGCAGUGACAGGUGGUGCAUGGCUGUCGUCAGCUCGUGUCGUGAGAUGUUGGGUUAAGUCCCGCAACGAGCGCAACCCACGUCUUUAGUUGCAGCAUUCAGUUGGGCACUCUAGAGAGACCGCCUGUUGAUAAACCGGAGGAAGGGUGGUGGAUGACGUCAAGUCAUCAUGGC
This 1118-nucleotide ribosomal RNA is filed under the name uncultured bacterium. RNAcentral describes it as "bacterial SSU rRNA". It matches the Rfam family "Bacterial small subunit ribosomal RNA", at positions 31 to 1199 of the family's 1533-position model. The record is from RNAcentral.